GACGAACGCUGGCGGCGUGCUUAACACAUGCAAGUCGAACGGAAAGGCCCUGCUUUUGUGGGGUGCUCGAGUGGCGAACGGGUGAGUAACACGUGAGUAACCUGCCCCUGACUUUGGGAUAACUUCAGGAAACUGGGGCUAAUACCGGAUAGGAGCUCCUGCUGCAUGGUGGGGGUUGGAAAGUUUCGGCGGUUGGGGAUGGACUCGCGGCUUAUCAGCUUGUUGGUGGGGUAGUGGCUUACCAAGGCUUCGACGGGUAGCCGGCCUGAGAGGGUGACCGGCCACAUUGGGACUGAGAUACGGCCCAGACUCCUACGGGAGGCAGCAGUGGGGAAUAUUGCACAAUGGGCGGAAGCCUGAUGCAGCAACGCCGCGUGCGGGAUGACGGCCUUCGGGUUGUAAACCGCUUUCGCCUGUGACGAAGCGUGAGUGACGGUAAUGGGUAAAGAAGCACCGGCUAACUACGUG
This 468-nucleotide ribosomal RNA is filed under the name uncultured bacterium. RNAcentral describes it as "partial 16S ribosomal RNA". It matches the Rfam family "Bacterial small subunit ribosomal RNA", at positions 28 to 507 of the family's 1533-position model. The record is from RNAcentral.